Molecule: long non-coding RNA, 528 nt
Filed under: Junco hyemalis (dark-eyed junco)
Lineage: Eukaryota; Metazoa; Chordata; Aves; Passeriformes; Passerellidae
Description: lncRNA (ENSJHYG00000010217.1)
Source: RNAcentral
UUUUCUUUCAUUUUUGGUUUAUUUCCCUCCUCCAAACAAUUAUGUAUUAAUUGGAAAAAGAGCUGUCUGGUGCCACCAGCCUUGCAUAUAUAAUGCAUAGGUGCUAUGUGGUCUGAGUGGCAUCAUGGCAAUAUCCUGAUGAAUUUACAAAAUACUCAAUAUCUGCUUAAUGCUAUUGGCAAACCUGUUGAUACAGUCUGAGGCAAAUGUACUCUUUGAAUGAAAUGUGCUACUGUGGCUGAAAAUUAAAUGAAUACAGGGAUGGAGCACAGGUGAGCGGAGAUGCUGUUGGACUGAGCGGUUGAAACAAAGCAAGGAUUGGGAGUGUUGGAUGCUGCGGUUCUCAACUUUGUGCGCCUCAGCAUCGUUGGUACCGUGCCAGGUUUUCACACCAGGAGAAUUUCGGAGUGUCCUUUUACGGAUGGCAAUCCCAGCAGCAUCAUCUUUUAUCUGUUUGCGCUGAGUCCAUUUGGCCUUGCCCUGCUGUGGUCCCCCUUGGUGCCCCUCUCCUGUGCUCCCAGGACAUAA